RNAcentral lists this ribosomal RNA (704 nucleotides) under Pseudomonas sp. RNAcentral's name for it is "bacterial SSU rRNA". It matches the Rfam family "Bacterial small subunit ribosomal RNA", at positions 48 to 747 of the family's 1533-position model. The record is from RNAcentral. Lineage: Bacteria; Pseudomonadati; Pseudomonadota; Gammaproteobacteria; Pseudomonadales; Pseudomonadaceae.
CUAACACAUGCAAGUCGAGCGGUAGAGAGAAGCUUGCUUCUCUUGAGAGCGGCGGACGGGUGAGUAAUGCCUAGGAAUCUGCCUGGUAGUGGGGGAUAACGCUCGGAAACGGACGCUAAUACCGCAUACGUCCUACGGGAGAAAGCAGGGGACCUUCGGGCCUUGCGCUAUCAGAUGAGCCUAGGUCGGAUUAGCUAGUUGGUGAGGUAAUGGCUCACCAAGGCGACGAUCCGUAACUGGUCUGAGAGGAUGAUCAGUCACACUGGAACUGAGACACGGUCCAGACUCCUACGGGAGGCAGCAGUGGGGAAUAUUGGACAAUGGGCGAAAGCCUGAUCCAGCCAUGCCGCGUGUGUGAAGAAGGUCUUCGGAUUGUAAAGCACUUUAAGUUGGGAGGAAGGGCAGUAACCUAAUACGUUAUUGUUUUGACGUUACCGACAGAAUAAGCACCGGCUAACUCUGUGCCAGCAGCCGCGGUAAUACAGAGGGUGCAAGCGUUAAUCGGAAUUACUGGGCGUAAAGCGCGCGUAGGUGGUUUGUUAAGUUGAAUGUGAAAUCCCCGGGCUCAACCUGGGAACUGCAUCCAAAACUGGCAAGCUAGAGUAGGGCAGAGGGUGGUGGAAUUUCCUGUGUAGCGGUGAAAUGCGUAGAUAUAGGAAGGAACACCAGUGGCGAAGGCGACCACCUGGGCUCAUACUGACACU